CCAGUAUCAGAAAAAACACAUAGGAAAGCAUUAAGGUAAUACACAUGUGCCUUAGGGUGAGUGAAUAAACACUUUAUUUGACCCUUCACAUCAUUGAGGGGAGAGAAGUGGGUUCCAUGGGGUCUGAGGAACACAUUGUUAAGAAUACAUCUUUCCUUCCCAGCAUGAAAGUAUUCCUUUAUUCUCCAGCCGUGCUAAAAAUGGAUACUUUUCAUUGUACUGAUGUGGGUAGCCCGGUCAUUCUCCACAUUUUAGAUCUAAUGCGGUUGACGACCACACAUAAAUAACAAGAGAAGGGCUAUUCAGGAAAGUAAUUCCUACUAGUUAAGGGCAGCAAGAAAUCAAUAUCCUUAUGCUGCCCUAAGAUUCACA
Molecule: non-coding RNA, 372 nt
Organism: Pelobates cultripes (western spadefoot toad)
Lineage: Eukaryota; Metazoa; Chordata; Amphibia; Anura; Pelobatidae
Source: the annotation of a GenBank genome assembly